This 643-nucleotide ribosomal RNA is filed under the name uncultured bacterium. RNAcentral describes it as "bacterial SSU rRNA". It matches the Rfam family "Bacterial small subunit ribosomal RNA", at positions 62 to 706 of the family's 1533-position model. The record is from RNAcentral.
UCGAACGGUAGAGGGGCAACCCUUGAGAGUGGCGAACGGGUGAGUCAUUCCUCGGAACGUGCCCAGUCGUGGGGGAUAACGUAGCGAAUGCUACGCUAAUACCGCAUACGACCUGAGGGUGAAAGCGGGGGAUCGCAAGACCUCGCGCGAUUGGAGCGGCCGAUGGCAGAUUAGGUAGUUGGUGGGGUAAAGGCCUAGGGGGGGGGGGAUCUGUAGCUGGUCUGAGAGGACGACCAGCCACACUGGGACUGAGACACGGCCCAGACUCCUACGGGAGGCAGCAGUGGGGAAUUUUGGACAAUGGGCGCAAGCCUGAUCCAGCCAUACCGCGUGCGGGAAGAAGGCCUUCGGGUUGUAAACCGCUUUUGUCAGGGAAGAAAUCUUCUGGGCUAAUACCUCGGGAGGAUGACGGUACCUGAAGAAUAAGCACCGGCUAACUACGUGCCAGCAGCCGCGGUAAUACGUAGGGUGCAAGCGUUAAUCGGAAUUACUGGGCGUAAAGCGUGCGCAGGCGGUUCCAUAAGACAGAUGUGAAAUCCCCGGGCUCAACCUGGGAACUGCAUUUGUGACUGUGGGGCUAGAGUACGGUAGAGGGGGAUGGAAUUCCGCGUGUAGCAGUGAAAUGCGUAGAUAUGCGGAGGAA